CAGGCGGUCGCUCUGCAAGACAGCCCAGGAGCUGAUGGCGACAAGGAUGCCAAGGGUGGCACUGUCUGCUGAGCAGCGUGAUCGUAAGAGACUGAAGAAGAAGUCUGAGGGCAUCCCACCUGGGAUGAAACUGAAAGGGAGCCCGCCCCAGGGCCACCUUUCUCCCGCUGGUCCCCUGUGCCGCCUGGUCAUCAGCUGGAGCGCUUUCGAUGCCGCUGUCGGGCCCAGAGGCAGAGCUCAGGGCGCUGCGUUCACCCUCCACCGCGCACAGCCAGUCCCGCACUUUGCGGGCAGCAGCGCCCGGUAGCCCAGGCUCGGCCUGCAGCUCUCGCAGGAGGCUGUAGGCGGCGCUGGUGCGGGCCCGGCAGCGCGCGCACUCAGUGCCCAGCCCCGGAGCGACUGCCGCGGAGCCCACCCCUGGGCAGAGCACGCGCCGGCCACGGUGGAUGAUGCGCGUCUCCGAGCGGUGUCGCGGCGGCCCGCGCGCACCCGCCGCCUGUUCCUCAGGGACACGCUCGGCUUCUGGACGCCAGUUGACUGUGGCACGAUUGCGGAUGUUCUGGGCACGGCUGGCGUAGUUUAGGGUGUUAAGGGUUUCAUCGAAGUCGGAGGAGGAGGGGCUGACGCAGGCGAUCAUCACUGUCUUGGCAUUCCCUCCCAGAGAGUCUUUGAGGAUCCUGCGAGCGAGAGGAUUAUACUCUUCUGAGUACUGACCUGGGAUCACCGGCGUAGGUUCAAAGCUACCUUUCCUGGGGGGUGGGGGGGAAUCCAUGAUCCCACCCAAGCCCAGAGAGAUGGGCCAUCUCACCGGGUGAUCUUGGAGUCACGGUAAGGGAUGUGGCUGCCUCGGCGCUGGGGGUCUCCCAGAGCACUAAUGACAUUUCCCAGGGCCAGCAGGGUACUGUUAAUCUGGAUGCUCUCUUUGAGCCGUUCGCCGGUGCUGCCGGUCUUCAGAACCCUCUCAGAGCCUGCCAGGUCCACGAAGUGGAAUUUAGAGACCAGCAGGUGGCCAGCGCCAGGUCGAGGCAAGCGGGUAGGAGCCCGUCCUCUCUGCUCCAGGGUCACAGUGAAGACUGUGUGCGAGCGGCUGGAGAGGCGGUUGAAGUGUGUGGCUCCUGUGUGCCGCGCAGCGUUGCCCAUCUCCAGGAGGCUCAGCACCUCGUCCAGGCCUUCCACGUCCACUUCUUUCACCCCACAGAGCACUGUGAAAACAGAAGACUGUGAGUAGCUCCCUACAGACAGCCAGAAGACAAGCAAAAACAAUCUAGGAUUCCUACCUGUCCUUCCUGGCCCAGAGCAUUGACUCAUGCCCCAGAGUCCCCAGAUCUCCCGCAAUUACCUUAAUGUUUCACUCUGGAUACACACAGAUGAAUAUACUGAACUCACUGGAGAUGGCAAACAAAACCAUCAUCCAGGGCCUGCAUUUCCCUUGAGGAAGUGUCUCUUCCAGACAGGUUAAGCCAGCCUACCCUCAGAGCAUAAAGACAGGCUUUCCUGGCCAAAAAGGCCUCACUCCCAGUCCUUGGAGGAUUCCCAAGACUUCUCACCAACAUUUCCCCGAUCAUCUUCCCGAAGCUGGAUGUCCCGGCUGGCAGUGCCCACUUCGAGCAGAUCUCGGAACUCUUCCUUGUACAGUUCCAGGUAGGAUACGUGUACCAGGCAGUCCAGCAGGUCAUUCUCAUCGAUGAGCUUGAAGGCCUCAGCCAUGGCCCUUGGGAUAAUACCUUGCUCAUCUUCAUGCAGGGAGGCUGGGGAGAUACCAUGGAGUCUCCUGCAGCCAUAACCCUCACCCCUCCACCACCACCCCUGCGCCCCUCUGGCCCAAGUAUCCAACACCAGCAGCAGCAGCAGCAGCAGCAGCAGCAGCAGCAGCUAGAGAAUGGGGCUGUAGUGUGGAGAAGACAAUGACAGAGGUCAAGGAGAGACAGCCUCUGCUAGGCGGUGCUUCAGGCUAGUGAAGCAGAAUUAGAGGUUCCAAGCAACCUCUCACGGUUUAAUCAACUGCUUUCAUGAUGCACCCUCCUUACACCUUUCCCAACAAAUUAUCAGAUACCCUAGACUUGAUUACUCCCUGGGACAGGGAAGUCACUACCAUGGCCCAUACACAGCUAUCCCGUAGGAAGUUUGCUUAAAAUAUAUUUGCAACAGAAUGCCAGGAACUUAUCAAAUAAAAAGAAGGCUGA
Molecule: non-coding RNA, 2183 nt
Organism: Rattus norvegicus (Norway rat)
Lineage: Eukaryota; Metazoa; Chordata; Mammalia; Rodentia; Muridae
Source: RefSeq, a predicted model, not a curated record